RNAcentral lists this ribosomal RNA (1347 nucleotides) under Triticum aestivum (bread wheat). RNAcentral describes it as "partial small subunit ribosomal RNA". The record is from RNAcentral. Lineage: Eukaryota; Viridiplantae; Streptophyta; Magnoliopsida; Poales; Poaceae.
AUGGCAGCGGCGGCGUACACGGCGAAGCUCUCCGGCUGCACCCGUCCGCUCCCCAGCACCCUAAGCUCCAGCCCCCGCGCCACCCGCCUGGCCCCAUUCGCGUCACGCUCCCGGCCCCGCGCGCUUCUCGCCGCCGCCGCCGCCACCCUCCGCGAGGUCUGCUCCGGCCGCGUCCCCGACCACGUCCUCCAGAGGGCUGAGGACGUCGGGUACACCUCACCGACCGAGGUGCAGGAGCAGUCCCUGCCGGUGCUCCUCUCCGGCCAGGACUGCAUCCUCCACGCCCAGACAGGUUCAGGGAAGACGCUGGCCUACCUCCUGGCGGUCUUCUCGGCGAUAGACGUCGGGCGGUCCUCCGUGCAGGCGCUGGUCAUCGUGCCGACGCGGGAGCUCGGCAUCCAGGUCACCAAAGUCGCCAGGCUUCUCGCGGCGAAGACUUGCAACGUCAUGGCUUUGCUUGACGGCGGGAUGCUGACGAGGCAGAAGAGCUGGUUAAAGGCAGAGCCCCCUGCGAUAAUUGUAGCAACUGUUGCAAGCUUGUGCCAGAUGGUUGAGAAGCGUGCUUUCAGUCUUGGAUCAAUCAAAGUAUUAGUUAUCGAUGAGGUUGAUUUCAUUUUUGGAUCAUCAAAGCAAGUGAACUCCCUUCGCAAGAUACUAAAUUCUUACACAGCAGCAUCCAGCCGUCAAACCGUCUUUGCUAGCGCAUCCAUACCUCAGCACAAUCGCUUUGUGCAUGAUUGCGUGCAACAUAAAUGGACCAAGAGCGAUGUGGUUCAUGUUCAUGUCAACCCUGUCCAGCCCAUGCCUUCACACCUACGUCACACAUAUGUGAUCUGCAGUAAGAAGGAACGGUUGCAUGUUUUGCUAUCCUUGCUUGAGAGGGAUGCACCAAAGUCGGUGAUUAUAUUUGUCGCUCAACAGUCUGAGAAAUCAAAAAGGGCUGGAAAUCCUCCGCCGUCCACACUUGUUGUCGAAUUCCUGAGAACAGAGUAUAAAGGCAUCCUGGAGGUGCUUGUGCUAGAAGAAGAUAUGAAUUUCAACGCUCGGGCUACCUCGUUCACUGAAGUCAAGGGAAAAGGUUUCCUGCUAGUUUCGACGGACAUAGCGAGCAGAGGGUUCGACCUUCCGCAGACCAGCCACAUAUACAACUUCGACCUUCCUAAGACGGCGACCGACUACCUCCACCGCGCCGGAAGAACCGGGAGAGAACCGUUCUCCAAGUCGGAGUGCAGCGUGACGACCCUCAUAACGGAGGAGGAGCACUUCGUGCUACAGAGGUUCCAGAACGAGCUCAAGUUCCACUCCCAACAGCUGCCCUUGGAGUCCAUGUUUACUUUCAACUUGUAA